AUGGGUUUCUUCCUUGUUGAUCUUGAAUUGCUGCUUGCUGGAACCGUUAAACCCAAAGCUUCGAUGUGAUAUUUUAUUAAAAUUUCAAGUUGAAAAUUAGCUUUCAUAGUUUAGUAGCCUAAUAUACUAAAAAACAUUUUGGCUUUUUAUGUGGUUAACAUAACAACAUAGUGCAAUAAGGUCCACCUUGUAUGAUGUGACUAUCUUAUUCAAUAUUCUGAUUUUGAGAAAAGCAUUUGCCAAUCAUAUCAAACGUCCACCUUGUAUGAUGUGACUAUCUUCUUAUUCAAUAUUUGUGGUUUUGAGGAAAGCAUUUGCCCAUCAUAUCAAUUGUAAGUAAUAUUUGAGGAGACAUUAUUAUGCUUUUCUUACAAUUAUUAUCAACUGUUACUACUAACUGUCAAGUCAAUAGUAACAGUAUUAACUAUUAAUUUAUGGCCUAUCAAGCAGCAUACUAAAGCUAAUAUAAUAGUCCAGGCAAUGGAUGCUCAAAAAAGGGUAUAGAGGGGAAUGUUUGGAAGACAAUUUCUUACCCCGCAGUUCUGUUUAGGGUAUUUAAGGAGGUGAACAUAGAAAAGUGCAAUUUUCAUUGCUGCAACAAGUGUUAACUCAGCGGUUCCACACCUUCAACAGAGGAGAUAAAGAUGCACACUUUUGGCAUGUUCACCUACUAACUGGUCCAAAUUAAGCUGCAAAGUCAAAAAUUGUUUCACAGACACCCCCCUUCAAAUGUGAUUUUCAAACGAUCAAUUGUUGCAGCAAUGAAAAUUUCACCCCCUACAUUGAAGCUGCUAUAACAAUGAAAGGAAAACUUGGAAUAGUGAAAUAAUGCAUCAUUUCAAAGAGAAUUCAAUGCUCUAUAA
Molecule: long non-coding RNA, 863 nt
Organism: Nilaparvata lugens (brown planthopper)
Lineage: Eukaryota; Metazoa; Arthropoda; Insecta; Hemiptera; Delphacidae
Exons: 3
Source: RefSeq, a predicted model, not a curated record